This 387-nucleotide ribosomal RNA is filed under the name uncultured bacterium. RNAcentral describes it as "bacterial SSU rRNA". It matches the Rfam family "Bacterial small subunit ribosomal RNA", at positions 413 to 793 of the family's 1533-position model. The record is from RNAcentral.
GGCCUUCGGGUUGUAAAGUACUUUCAGCAGUGAGGAAGGUGGGUAUGUUAAUAGCAUACUCAUUUGACGUUAGCUGCAGAAGAAGCACCGGCUAACUCCGUGCCAGCAGCCGCGGUAAUACGGAGGGUGCGAGCGUUAAUCGGAAUUACUGGGCGUAAAGCGCAUGCAGGUGGUUUGUUAAGUCAGAUGUGAAAGCCCGGGGCUCAACCUCGGAAUUGCAUUUGAAACUGGCAAACUAGAGUACUGUAGAGGGGGUAGAAUUUCAGGUGUAGCGGUGAAAUGCGUAGAGAUCUGAAGGAAUACCGGUGGCGAAGGCGGCCCCCUGGACAGAUACUGACACUCAGAUGCGAAAGCGUGGGGAGCAAACAGGAUUAGAUACCCUGGUAG